RNAcentral lists this transfer RNA (66 nucleotides) under Stenocladius sp. FM17. RNAcentral's name for it is "tRNA-Asn". The record is from RNAcentral. Lineage: Eukaryota; Metazoa; Arthropoda; Insecta; Coleoptera; Lampyridae.
UUAAUUGAAACCAAAUAAGAGGUUAUUCACUGUUAAUGAAUAAAUUGAAUUAUAAUUCCAAUUAAA